GCCGGGGGCCACUCCUGCGUGGUGCGAGUGGGAACGCGCGCGCGCGCCUGGGUGUGUGUUGUUAGCUGAUAUCCAUGGCAGCUGCAGUGGCAGGGUGCGUGUGCGUGUGUGUGUGUGUGUGUGUGUGUACUAGUUCUACUGUACUGGCAGACGGGAGGAGGCAGGGGAGGAGGGGCGCGCGCGCCGGGUGGGGAGCCACGGAGGGCUUCGCCGCUGCCUCCCUCCCUCCCUCCGCAGCUUGACCCGGUAGUGAAGGCAGAGAGAGAGGCAGGCUGGGUCCGCCUGGCAGCCUACGGGAGGAGGCGGGAGCCGGGAAGGAGGGGAGCCUAGGCCCGGCGUGGGGAGGCCGGCAGGAAGGGCCUCGAGCCCAGUGCGGACCUUUCUUCAGCCUCUGUGCGACCGAGCCGCGCGCCAGGCUCCUGUGCGAGGAGGACGCGCUGACUCCCUCCGACCUGGGCUCCGAUGGAGCAGAAAUAGCGGGACCUGGACUUGUGGCGCGCCUGGUGCCACAUCUCGGGCUCUGCGAGCGUCCUGGCGCGGGAUCCUGCCGUUUGCAUCCAAGAGAGGGGAGGACAGGGGCAAAAGGAUGCAGGGAGGCUGCUGAUUUCCACUGAAGAGCUAAUUUCCUGUGAGACAUUAACAGUGAUUUAAGAAAAAGAUUCCUGUAACUGUAAUGUCUUACAAUAACAGAAUGCAGGAGAGCACAUAUCAAUGAAGAAAAGACAAAAUGUACUUAUCCAUGAAGCUGAGGUUAAGAAACCAGUGUCUUCAAGAGCCAGGGACAGCACUGGGUCUGUGCAGAGUUGAGAGAUGGUGAUGACAUGGUGAGACACAAAUUCAGUCUAUUUCAUAGUUUGUGGUCA
RNAcentral lists this long non-coding RNA (863 nucleotides) under Homo sapiens (human). Its description in RNAcentral is "non-protein coding MAGI2-AS3:13". Lineage: Eukaryota; Metazoa; Chordata; Mammalia; Primates; Hominidae. The record is from RNAcentral.